This 843-nucleotide ribosomal RNA is filed under the name Salmonella enterica. Its description in RNAcentral is "partial 23S ribosomal RNA". It matches the Rfam family "Bacterial large subunit ribosomal RNA", at positions 345 to 1190 of the family's 2925-position model. The record is from RNAcentral. Lineage: Bacteria; Pseudomonadati; Pseudomonadota; Gammaproteobacteria; Enterobacterales; Enterobacteriaceae. RNAcentral also lists the same sequence under 1 other name.
GAAAGGCGCGCGAUACAGGGUGACAGCCCCGUACACAAAAGCGCAUGUGCUGUGAGCUCGAUGAGUAGGGCGGGACACGUGGUAUCCUGUCUGAAUAUGGGGGGACCAUCCUCCAAGGCUAAAUACUCCUGACUGACCGAUAGUGAACCAGUACCGUGAGGGAAAGGCGAAAAGAACCCCGGCGAGGGGAGUGAAAAAGAACCUGAAACCGUGUACGUACAAGCAGUGGGAGCACAGGUUUACCUGUGUGACUGCGUACCUUUUGUAUAAUGGGUCAGCGACUUAUAUUCUGUAGCAAGGUUAACCGUAUAGGGGAGCCGAAGGGAAACCGAGUCUUAACCGGGCGUUAAGUUGCAGGGUAUAGACCCGAAACCCGGUGAUCUAGCCAUGGGCAGGUUGAAGGUUGGGUAACACUAACUGGAGGACCGAACCGACUAAUGUUGAAAAAUUAGCGGAUGACCUGUGGCUGGGGGUGAAAGGCCAAUCAAACCGGGAGAUAGCUGGUUCUCCCCGAAAGCUAUUUAGGUAGCGCCUCGUGAAUUCAUCUCCGGGGGUAGAGCACUGUUUCGGCUAGGGGGCCAUCCCGGCUUACCAACCCGAUGCAAACUGCGAAUACCGGAGAAUGUUAUCACGGGAGACACACGGCGGGUGCUAACGUCCGUCGUGAAGAGGGAAACAACCCAGACCGCCAGCUAAGGUCCCAAAGUCAUGGUUAAGUGGGAAACGAUGUGGGAAGGCCCAGACAGCCAGGAUGUUGGCUUAGAAGCAGCCAUCAUUUAAAGAAAGCGUAAUAGCUCACUGGUCGAGUCGGCCUGCGCGGAAGAUGUAACGGGGCUAAACCAU